RNAcentral lists this ribosomal RNA (408 nucleotides) under uncultured bacterium. Its description in RNAcentral is "partial 16S ribosomal RNA". It matches the Rfam family "Bacterial small subunit ribosomal RNA", at positions 28 to 526 of the family's 1533-position model. The record is from RNAcentral.
GACGAACGCUGGCGGCGUGCUUAACACAUGCAAGUCGAACGAAGUGGCGAACGGGUGAGUAACGCGUAAUCAACCUGCCCUUCAGAGGGGGACAACAGUUGGAAACGACUGCUAAUACCGCAUACUGAAGGAGGGGAUUGCGUCUGAUUAGCUAGUUGGAGGGGUAACGGCCCACCAAGGCGAUGACGGGUAGCCGGCCUGAGAGGGUGACCGGCCACAGUGGGACUGAGAUACGGCCCAGCCUCCUACGGGGGGCAGCAGUGGGGGAUAUUGCACAAUGGGCGAAAGCCUGAUGCAGCGACGCCGCGUGGGGGAUGAAGGCUUUCGGGUUGUAAACCUCUGUCGCUAUCGAACGGGUAGGUGGAGAAGAAGCGCCGGCUAACUACGUGCCAGCAGCCGCGGUAAUAC